UACAGAGGUCUCAAGCGUUGUUCGGAUUCAUUGGGCGUAAAGGGUGCGUAGGCGGCGCGGUAAGUCGGGUGUGAAAUUUCGGAGCUUAACUCCGAAACUGCAUUCGAUACUGGCGUGCUUGAGGACUGGAGAGGAGACUGGAAUUCAUGGUGUAGCAGUGAAAUGCGUAGAGAUCAUGAGGAAGACCAGUGGCGAAGGCGGGUCUCUGGACAGCUCCUGACGCUGAGGCGCGAAGGCUAGGGGAGCAAACGGG
Molecule: ribosomal RNA, 253 nt
Filed under: uncultured bacterium
Lineage: Bacteria
Description: partial 16S ribosomal RNA
Rfam family: Bacterial small subunit ribosomal RNA
Source: RNAcentral